UUACGACCAUAUCACAUUGAAACACUGGAUGUCGUACGAUCAAUAAAGUUAAGCAACGUCGACACUGGUAAGUACAUAGAUGGGUGUCCGCUUGGGAAUACCAGGUGCUGUAAG
Acanthosepion pharaonis is the source of this 114-nucleotide non-coding RNA. NCBI's taxonomy places the organism in Eukaryota, Metazoa, Mollusca, Cephalopoda, Sepiida, Sepiidae. The record is from the annotation of a GenBank genome assembly.